This 468-nucleotide ribosomal RNA is filed under the name uncultured bacterium. RNAcentral describes it as "partial 16S ribosomal RNA". It matches the Rfam family "Bacterial small subunit ribosomal RNA", at positions 28 to 507 of the family's 1533-position model. The record is from RNAcentral.
GACGAACGCUGGCGGCGUGCUUAACACAUGCAAGUCGAACGGAAAGGCCCUGCUUUUGUGGGUUGCUCGUGUGGCGAACGGGUGAGUAACACGUGAGUAACCUGCCCUUGACUUUGGGAUAACUUCAGGAAACUGGGGCUAAUACCCGAUAGGAGCUCCUGCUCCAUGGUGGGGGUUGGAAAGUUUCGGCGGUUGGGGAUGGACUGGCGGCUUAUCAGCUUGUUGGUGGGGUAGUGGCUUACCACGGCUUUGACGGGUAGCCGGCCUGGGAGGGUGACCGGGCACAUUGGGACUGAGAGACGGCCCAGACGCCUACGGGAGGCAGCAGUGGAGAGUAUGGCACAAUGGGCGGAAGCCUGAUGCAGCGACGCCGCGUGCGGGAUGACGGCCUUCGGGUGGUAAACCGCUUUCGCCUGUGACGAAGCGUGAGUGACGGUAAUGGGUAAAGAAGCACCGGCUAACUACGUG